AAAAUUCUGAAAGGAGAUAUAUGUGUAUUUAAACAGAUAUCUAUAUAUCUCUUUAAAAUUAUUUAUUUAUUUAUUCUACCACACACACAAAAAAAACACACACACACAAACAGAUGGAAAACCCUCUGAUUUCUUUCUUAUAACUUGCUAGGGUAAAAGCUACAUUUAAUUUGAAAAUCCUUUACUCUUAUCAUAGUCCUUUCUCUUGUAUCUUAAUUGAGCAAGUAACAGAAAAACAACAAAAUUCCAUGAUAUCACUGACCGCAUAAAAUACUAACAUCUAAAAAAUAGGACAAAGCUUUCCUCUCAAUAGAACUAACUCGCCGGGCGCGGUGGCUCAAGCCUGUAAUCCCAGCACUUUGGGAAGCCGAGACGGGCGGAUCACGAGGUCAGGAGAUCGAGACCAUCCUGGCUAACACAGUGAAACCCCGUCUCCACUAAAAUACAAAAAAAUUAGCCGGGCGUGGUGGCGGCGCCUGUAGACCAGCUACUCGGAGGCUGAGGCAGGAGAAUGGGGGACCGGGAGGCGGAGCUUGCAGUGAGCUGAGAUCGGCCACUGCACUCCAGCCUGGCGACAGAGCGAGACUCCGCCUCAAAAAAAAAAAAAAAAAAAAAAAAAAAAAAAAAAAAAAAAAAAGAACUAACUUGCUAUAAUUUAUAGAUAGACAUAUAGAUAGAGAGAUAUCCAUUUAAAUACAUAUAUAUCUCUUUUCAGGAUUUUCCUAUCAAAUAUGCAUGCAUAUUUAUCUCCCCCCGCUCUGUGUAGACAUACACACACACACACACACACACACACACACACACACAAACACACACAUAUGUAUACACUCUCUGUUCUGCUUCUCUGAAUGAAGCCUGGCUGAUAGGCAUUAUUAUCAACACUGAAGCCUAGCCAACAAGAAACCCCUUUAAGAGCCAACUCUGCCUUUUUUCCAGAAAGCUAACUGGAAAGUCUGAGGUCAUUCAAGAGCAUAAAAAGUUGAUUGAUCUGUCAAUAUGUAAUAGCUUUAGAUAUAUUCAUACAUGUCAAAAGUCAUGAUGAGACUGAGAUGUAAGAUUAUAUUAUAAUAUUUCAUCAUAGAAAUGAAGAAUGCUCAAAUCCUACUCUUAGCCACCACUGCCUUUUCAAAGCCAGACAGAGUAAUAUUUAAUGAGUUAUAGACCUUCACAACUAUUUUGGGAUGAUGCAUAGAUGAGUGUAUGUGUGGUACUUGGUGAGGAGUGCUGUAAAAGAUAAUUCAAUCUCAUUUUUCAUCAUGAGGACUCAAAAGACUGUAUUCAACAUUUAAAAAUUAAUGAGUGGGAAAAUAAGCACAUUAAUUAGAAAUAGGAAAGCAAAUAUCAAAAAGGAGCCACAAUAAUAGAAAGUAGCACAGGUGGACAUAAACAUGGAAGCAAUACACACUGCAGACUUCUAGAAGGGAUGGGGCAUGGAUUGACAAACUACCUCUUGGAUAUUAUGCUCAUACCUGGGUAAUAGGAUCCAUAACCCAAACCUCAGCAUCAUGCAGUAUUCCCAUGUAACAAGCCUACACAUGGACCCUCUGUAUCUAAAAUAAAAGUUAAAAAAUAAAAAGCAAUACAUUGCCUUCAGAAAGAGAAAACUUGUGGCGAUAGGGAGAGUAAUGUGGUAGAGUUUUUGUUUAUUGUUGUUUUUUGAUAAAAUAUUACUUGUACAAGUAUCUGACUCUUUAAAAUAUUUUCA
Molecule: long non-coding RNA, 1705 nt
Organism: Macaca mulatta (Rhesus monkey)
Lineage: Eukaryota; Metazoa; Chordata; Mammalia; Primates; Cercopithecidae
Source: Ensembl